UGAGACUGGGCUGCUGCACGAGGCCUGUCCCCUUGUGUGCAGAUCCUUCCAGCAUCUGGUGGCCAUGUUUGACCCUCUGCCUCAAGACGAAACUACCCCUCCACCAACGGAGGCUCCCCAGUAAAUGGUUCACGAAGUUUCGUUUAAAAUCUUGCAUUAUUAAAGUCACUGCAACUUUU
This is a long non-coding RNA of Pomacea canaliculata, 179 nucleotides long. RefSeq lists it as uncharacterized. Lineage: Eukaryota; Metazoa; Mollusca; Gastropoda; Architaenioglossa; Ampullariidae. The record is from RefSeq and is a predicted model, not a curated record. The transcript is spliced from 2 exons.